This 253-nucleotide ribosomal RNA is filed under the name uncultured bacterium. RNAcentral's name for it is "partial 16S ribosomal RNA". It matches the Rfam family "Bacterial small subunit ribosomal RNA", at positions 524 to 776 of the family's 1533-position model. The record is from RNAcentral.
UACGUAGGGUGCGAGCGUUAAUCGGAAUUACUGGGCGUAAAGCGUGCGCAGGCGGUUGUGGAAGUCUGUCGUGAAAGCCCCGAGCUUAACUUGGGAAUUGCGCUUGUGACUGGCGUGCUGGAGUGUGGCAGAGGGAGGUGGAAUUCCACGUGUAGCAGUGAAAUGCGUAGAGAUGUGGAGGAACACCGAUGGCGAAGGCAGCCUCCUGGGCCAGCACUGACGCUCAUGCACGAAAGCGUGGGGAGCAAACAGG